Molecule: ribosomal RNA, 492 nt
Filed under: uncultured bacterium
Lineage: Bacteria
Description: partial 16S ribosomal RNA
Rfam family: Bacterial small subunit ribosomal RNA
Source: RNAcentral
AGUGAACGCUGGCGGUAGGCCUAACACAUGCAAGUCGAACGGCAGCACAGUAAGAGCUUGCUCUUACGGGUGGCGAGUGGCGGACGGGUGAGGAAUACAUCGGAAUCUACUUUUUCGUGGGGGAUAACAUAGGGAAACUUACGCUAAUACCGCAUACGACCUACGGGUGAAAGCAGGGGAUCUUCGGACCUUGCGCGAUUGAAUGAGCCGAUGUCGGAUUAGCUAGUUGGCGGGGUAAAGGCCCACCAAGGCGACGAUCCGUAGCUGGUCUGAGAGGAUGAUCAGCCACACUGGAACUGAGACACGGUCCAGACUCCUACGGGAGGUAGCAGUGGGGAAUAUUGGACAAUGGGCGCAAGCCUGAUCCAGCCAUACCGCGUGGGUGAAGAAGGCCUUCGGGUUGUAAAGCCCUUUUGUUGGGAAAGAAAAGCAGCAGGUUAAUACCCCGCUGUUCUGACGGUACCCAAAGAAUAAGCACCGGCUAACUUCGUG